RNAcentral lists this ribosomal RNA (443 nucleotides) under uncultured bacterium. RNAcentral describes it as "partial 16S ribosomal RNA". It matches the Rfam family "Bacterial small subunit ribosomal RNA", at positions 338 to 795 of the family's 1533-position model. The record is from RNAcentral.
CCUACGGGUGGCAGCAGUGGGGAAUAUUGGACAAUGGACGCAAGCCUGACCCAGCAACGCCGCGUGAAUGAAGAAGGCUUUCGGGUUGUAAACUUCUUUUAUUGGGGACGAAACAAAUGACGGUACCCAAUGAAUAAGCCCCGGCUAACUACGUGCCAGCAGCCGCGGUAAUACGUAGGUGGCAAGCGUUAUCCGGAUUGACUGGGUGUAAAGGGUGUGUAGGCGGGUUGGCAAGUCAGAUGUGAAAACUCUGGGCUUAACCCAUGGCCUGCAUUUUAAACUGCUCUUCUUGAGUGCUGGAGAGGAAAGUGGAAUUCCGGGUGUAGCGGUGAAAUGCGUAGAUAUAAGGAGGAACAUCAGUGGCGAAGGCGGAUUGCUGGACAGUAACUGACGCUGAGGCGCGAAAGUGUGGGGAGCAAACAGGAUUAGAUACCCGGGUAGUC